CCUACGGGUGGCUGCAGUGGGGAAUAUUGCACAAUGGGCGCAAGCCUGAUGCAGCCAUGCCGCGUGUGUGAAGAAGGCCUUCGGGUUGUAAAGCACUUUCAGCGGGGAGGAAGGCGGUGAGGUUAAUAACCUCAUCGAUUGACGUUACCCGCAGAAGAAGCACCGGCUAACUCCGUGCCAGCAGCCGCGGUAAUACGGAGGGUGCAAGCGUUAAUCGGAAUUACUGGGCGUAAAGCGCACGCAGGCGGUCUGUCAAGUCGGAUGUGAAAUCCCCGGGCUCAACCUGGGAACUGCAUUCGAAACUGGCGGGCUAGAGUCUUGUAGAGGGGGGUAGAAUUCCAGGUGUAGCGGUGAAAUGCGUAGAGAUCUGGAGGAAUACCGGUGGCGAAGGCGGCCCCCUGGACAAAUACUGACGCUCAGGUGCGAAAGCGUGGGGAGCAAACAGGAUUAGAUACCCGAGUAGUC
Molecule: ribosomal RNA, 465 nt
Filed under: uncultured Klebsiella sp.
Lineage: Bacteria; Pseudomonadati; Pseudomonadota; Gammaproteobacteria; Enterobacterales; Enterobacteriaceae
Description: bacterial SSU rRNA
Rfam family: Bacterial small subunit ribosomal RNA
Source: RNAcentral